This 16-nucleotide transfer RNA is filed under the name Leggadina forresti (Forrest's mouse). RNAcentral's name for it is "partial tRNA-Pro". The record is from RNAcentral. Lineage: Eukaryota; Metazoa; Chordata; Mammalia; Rodentia; Muridae. RNAcentral also lists the same sequence under 1 other name.
UCAAGAAGUAGUUUAA